CCUUAUGUGAGAUACCUUUUGUGCAACUGGGAGAAGGCACUAACAAGUUGCUUGGUGCAAUUGAAUUCAUCAAAGGGUCAAAGUUAACACCAGACGAGAAACUUGUUGAACCGCGAAUGUACGCCAAAGUCACCAAGAAAUGCCAAACACAAUACGAGGUUCGACGCUGAAGCUCGUGACGAGAGCUUCACGAAAUCAGGUGGGGGAGAAUGUCACAUCCCGCAGAAAGUUCUAGAGGAUAUUCCCGCAGGCAUUUAUGGAAAGCUUACUUAUCAACUCUCGGGAGAUUGUUGACUAAGGUCGCACGGUGGAGCUUUAGACAUUUCUAAGGUCGUGACAAGAUGCUAAUGUUGCAAAAUCAGCGCGCACACAAUCUCACACUAAGAUAACACACACAACAGGAUAAAUUAAAAGGACACGAAUAAAAUGUACGUAAAAAAACUAAAAAGAAUGGCUAAAUUUCAUAUCUAUUGCUUCAAGUUCCC
This 485-nucleotide long non-coding RNA is filed under the name Panax ginseng (ginseng). RNAcentral's name for it is "long non-coding RNA (PGIN_LNC008448)". Lineage: Eukaryota; Viridiplantae; Streptophyta; Magnoliopsida; Apiales; Araliaceae. The record is from RNAcentral.